This 277-nucleotide long non-coding RNA is filed under the name Trifolium pratense (red clover). RNAcentral's name for it is "long non-coding RNA (TPRA_LNC005766)". The record is from RNAcentral. Lineage: Eukaryota; Viridiplantae; Streptophyta; Magnoliopsida; Fabales; Fabaceae.
GACGCAGAACGGAAGCGCUAGGUUAGCAAAACGCUAAACCUAAUGGAUAAAGACAAGUCGCAAACACAAACUUGUCAAAAUAGGGUUUCGGAGUCCACCGAAAGAGCAAUUUGGAAUCCACCAAAUUUGAGAAAAAUCUCUGAAUUUUAUUAAAUAAAAACUGCCCCUCAAGGCUACAAUGGUUUGGUUUAAAUAGUAAGGGAAAUAAUAAAAAUAGCAAAUCUAGAAUAAUAAAAAUAGCAAAUCUAGAAUAAAUAAAAAUAGCAAAUCUAGAAUA